RNAcentral lists this ribosomal RNA (522 nucleotides) under uncultured bacterium. RNAcentral describes it as "bacterial SSU rRNA". It matches the Rfam family "Bacterial small subunit ribosomal RNA", at positions 777 to 1297 of the family's 1533-position model. The record is from RNAcentral.
AAUAGAUACCCGGGUAGUCCACGCCGUAAACGAUGUCGACUUGGAGGUUGUGCCCCUUGAGGCGUGGCUUCCGGAGCUAACGCGUUAAGUCGACCGCCUGGGGAGUACGGCCGCAAGGUUAAAACUCAAAUGAAUUGACGGGGGCCCGCACAAGCGGUGGAGCAUGUGGUUUAAUUCGAUGCAACGCGAAGAACCUUACCUACUCUUGACAUCCAGAGAACUUAGCAGAGAUGCUUUGGUGCCUUCGGGAACUCUGAGACAGGUGCUGCAUGGCUGUCGUCAGCUCGUGUUGUGAAAUGUUGGGUUAAGUCCCGCAACGAGCGCAACCCUUAUCCUUUGUUGCCAGCGGUUAGGCCGGGAACUCAAAGGAGACUGCCAGUGAUAAACUGGAGGAAGGUGGGGAUGACGUCAAGUCAUCAUGGCCCUUACGAGUAGGGCUACACACGUGCUACAAUGGCAUAUACAAAGAGAAAGCGACCUCGCGAGAGCAAGCGGACCUCAUAAAGUAUGUCGUAGUCCGGA